This 403-nucleotide ribosomal RNA is filed under the name Verrucomicrobiota bacterium. RNAcentral describes it as "Verrucomicrobia bacterium partial 16S ribosomal RNA". It matches the Rfam family "Bacterial small subunit ribosomal RNA", at positions 355 to 776 of the family's 1533-position model. The record is from RNAcentral. Lineage: Bacteria; Pseudomonadati; Verrucomicrobiota.
UGGGGAAUAUUGCACUAUGGGCGCAAGCCUGAUGCAGCAACGCCGCGUGAACGAUGAAGGUCUUCGGAUCGUAAAGUUCUGUUGCAGGGGAAGAUAAUGACGGUACCCUGUGAGGAAGCCCCGGCUAACUACGUGCCAGCAGCCGCGGUAAUACGUAGGGGGCUAGCGUUAUCCGGAUUUACUGGGCGUAAAGGGUGCGUAGGUGGUCUUUCAAGUCGGUGGUUAAAGGCUACGGCUCAACCGUAGUUAGCCUCCGAAACUGGAAGACUUGAGUGCAGGAGAGGAAAGUGGAAUUCCCAGUGUAGCGGUGAAAUGCGUAGAUAUUGGGAGGAACACCAGUAGCGAAGGCGGCUUUCUGGACUGCAACUGACACUGAGGCACGAAAGCGUGGGUAGCAAACAGG